This 497-nucleotide ribosomal RNA is filed under the name uncultured bacterium. RNAcentral describes it as "partial 16S ribosomal RNA". It matches the Rfam family "Bacterial small subunit ribosomal RNA", at positions 29 to 523 of the family's 1533-position model. The record is from RNAcentral.
UUGAACGCUGGCGGCAGGCCUAACACAUGCAAGUCGAGCGGCAGCGCGGGGCAACCUGGCGGCGAGCGGCGGACGGGUGAGUAACGCGUAGGAAUCUACCCAGUAGCGGGGGAUAGCCCGGGGAAACUCGGAUUAAUACCGCAUACGCCCUAAGGGGGAAAGCAGGGGAUCGUAAGACCUUGCACUAUUGGAAGAGCCUGCGUUGGAUUAGCUAGUUGGUAGGGUAAAGGCCUACCAAGGCGACGAUCCAUAACUGGUCUGAGAGGAUGAUCAGUCACACCGGAACUGAGACACGGUCCGGACUCCUACGGGAGGCAGCAGUGGGGAAUAUUGGACAAUGGGGGCAACCCUGAUCCAGCCAUGCCGCGUGUGUGAAGAAGGCCUUCGGGUUGUAAAGCACUUUAAGUGGGGAGGAAGGGGUGAUUGCUAAUAACAAUCAUCAUUGACGCUACCCACAGAAUAAGCACCGGCUAACUCUGUGCCAGCAGCCGCCGUAA